This 433-nucleotide ribosomal RNA is filed under the name uncultured bacterium. Its description in RNAcentral is "partial 16S ribosomal RNA". It matches the Rfam family "Bacterial small subunit ribosomal RNA", at positions 29 to 507 of the family's 1533-position model. The record is from RNAcentral.
AACGAACGCUGGCGGCAGGCCUAACACAUGCAAGUCGAGCGAGGACUUCGGUUCUAGCGGCGGACGGGUGAGUAACGCGUGGUAAUGUUCCCUUCUCUACGGAAUAUCCCUGGUAAACUGGUAGUAAUACCGUAUACGCCCUUUUGGGGUAAGAUUUAUCGGAGAAGGAUCAGCCCGCGUUGGAUUAGGUAGUUGGUUGGGUAAUGGCCUACCAAGCCGACGAUCCAUAGCUGGGUUGAGAGGAUGAUCAGCCACACUGGGACUGAGACACGGCCGAGACUACUACGGGAGGCAGCAGUGGGGAAUAUUAGAAAAUGGGGGCAAACCUGAUAUAGCCAUGCCGGGUGAGUGAUGAAGGCCUUAGGGUUGUAAAGCUCUUUAAGAUGGGAAGAUAAUGACGGUAACAGCAGAAGAAGCACCGGCUAACUACGUG